This 433-nucleotide ribosomal RNA is filed under the name uncultured bacterium. Its description in RNAcentral is "partial 16S ribosomal RNA". It matches the Rfam family "Bacterial small subunit ribosomal RNA", at positions 29 to 507 of the family's 1533-position model. The record is from RNAcentral.
AACGAACGCUGGCGGCAUGCCUAACACAUGCAAGUCGAACGAGACCUUCGGGUCUAGUGGCGCACGGGUGCGUAACGCGUGGGAACCUGCCUUUAGGUUCGGAAUAACUCAGAGAAAUUUGAGCUAAUACCGGAUGAUGUCUUCGGACCAAAGAUUUAUCGCCUUUAGAUGGGCCCGCGUUGGAUUAGCUAGUUGGUGGGGUAAAGGCCUACCAAGGCGACGAUCCAUAGCUGGUCUGAGAGGAUGAUCAGCCACACUGGGACUGAGACACGGCCCAGACUCCUACGGGAGGCAGCAGUGGGGAAUAUUGGAACAUGGGCGAAAGGCUGAUUCAGCCAUGCCGCGUGAGUGAUGAAGGCCUUAGGGUUGUAAAGCUCUUUUACCCGAGAUGAUAAUGACAGUAUCGGGAGAAUAAGCUCCGGCUAACUCCGUG